Molecule: ribosomal RNA, 492 nt
Filed under: uncultured bacterium
Lineage: Bacteria
Description: partial 16S ribosomal RNA
Rfam family: Bacterial small subunit ribosomal RNA
Source: RNAcentral
AUUGAACGCUGGCGGCAUGCUUUACACAUGCAAGUCGAACGGUAACAGGCCUUCGGGUGCUGACGAGUGGCGAACGGGUGAGUAAUGCAUCGGAACGUGCCCAGGGGUGGGGGAUAACGCAGCGAAAGCUGUGCUAAUACCGCAUGUGAUCUGAGGAUGAAAGCGGGGGACCAGGCAGCAAUGUUUGGCCUCGCGCCUUUGGAGCGGCCGAUGUCAGAUUAGGUAGUUGGUGGGGUAAAGGCCUACCAAGCCGACGAUCUGUAGCUGGUCUGAGAGGACGACCAGCCACACUGGGACUGAGACACGGCCCAGACUCCUACGGGAGGCAGCAGUGGGGAAGUUUGGACAAUGGGCGCAAGCCUGAUCCAGCAAUGCCGCGUGCGGGAAGAAGGCCUUCGGGUUGUAAACCGCUUUUGUACGGAACGAAAAGGCUCUGGCUAAUACCUGGGGCUGAUGACGGUACCGUAAGAAUAAGCACCGGCUAACUACGUG